UUGGGAAUCUUGCACAAUGGGGGCAACCCUGAUGCCGCGACGCCGCGUGGAGGAUGAAGGGUCUAGGCCUGUAAACUCCUUUUCUCGGGAAAGACUUAGGACGGUACCCGAGGACUAAGCCCCGGCUAACUACGUGCCAGCAGCCGCGGUAAGACGUAGGGGGCGAGCGUUGUCCGGAUUUACUGGGCGUAAAGCGCGCGUAGGCGGUCCGUUAAGUGCACAAGUGAAAGCUCCAGACUCAACUUGGAAAUUGCUUUGCAUACUGGCGGGCUGGAGGGACGCAGAGGUCUGUGGAAUUCCUGGUGUAACGGUGAAAUGUGUUGAUAUCAGGAGGAACACCCAUGGCGAAGGCAGCAGACUGGGCGUUUCCUGACGCUGAGGCGCGAAAGCGUGGGUAGCAAACA
This 404-nucleotide ribosomal RNA is filed under the name uncultured Fimbriimonas sp. Its description in RNAcentral is "bacterial SSU rRNA". It matches the Rfam family "Bacterial small subunit ribosomal RNA", at positions 355 to 774 of the family's 1533-position model. Lineage: Bacteria; Bacillati; Armatimonadota; Fimbriimonadia; Fimbriimonadales; Fimbriimonadaceae. The record is from RNAcentral.